Molecule: ribosomal RNA, 440 nt
Filed under: Bos taurus (domestic cattle)
Lineage: Eukaryota; Metazoa; Chordata; Mammalia; Artiodactyla; Bovidae
Description: similar to 12S ribosomal RNA
Rfam family: Bacterial small subunit ribosomal RNA
Source: RNAcentral
GCUUAACCACACCCCCACGGGAAACAGCAGUGACAAAAAUUAAGCCAUAAACGAAAGUUUGACUAAGUUAUAUUAAUUAGGGUUGGUAAAUCUCGUGCCAGCCACCGCGGUCAUACGAUUAACCCAAGCUAACAGGAGUACGGCGUAAAACGUGUUAAAGCACCAUACCAAAUAGGGUUAAAUUCUAACUAAGCUGUAAAAAGCCAUGAUUAAAAUAAAAAUAAAUGACGAAAGUGACCCUACAAUAGCCGACGCACUAUAGCUAAGACCCAAACUGGGAUUAGAUACCCCACUAUGCUUAGCCCUAAACACAGAUAAUUACAUAAACAAAAUUAUUCGCCAGAGUACUACUAGCAACAGCUUAAAACUCAAAGGACUUGGCGGUGCUUUAUAUCCUUCUAGAGGAGCCUGUUCUAUAAUCGAUAAACCCCGAUAAACCU